GUGCUCGCUUCAGCAGCACAUAUACUAACAUUGGAAUGAUACAGAGAAGAUUAACAUGGCCCCUGUGCAAAGAUGACACACAAAUUUGUGAAGCAUUCCAUAUUUUU
This 107-nucleotide small nuclear RNA is filed under the name Cebus imitator (Panamanian white-faced capuchin). The record is from RNAcentral. Lineage: Eukaryota; Metazoa; Chordata; Mammalia; Primates; Cebidae.